Molecule: ribosomal RNA, 252 nt
Filed under: uncultured bacterium
Lineage: Bacteria
Description: partial 16S ribosomal RNA
Rfam family: Bacterial small subunit ribosomal RNA
Source: RNAcentral
GACGUAGGGCGCGAGCGUUGUCCGGAUUUAUUGGGCGUAAAGAGCUCGUAGGCGGCUUGUCGCGUCGACUGUGAAAACCCAUGGCUCAACCAUGCGGUCUGCAGUCGAUACGGGCAGGCUAGAAUCGGUAGGGGAGACUGGAAUUCCUGGUGUAGCGGUGAAAUGCGCAGAUAUCAGGAGGAACACCCGGUGGCGAAGGCGGUCUCUGGGCCGAUAUUGACGCUGAGGAGCGAAGCGUGGGGAGCGAACAGG